This 410-nucleotide long non-coding RNA is filed under the name Pan troglodytes (chimpanzee). RNAcentral's name for it is "long non-coding RNA NONPTRT013260". Lineage: Eukaryota; Metazoa; Chordata; Mammalia; Primates; Hominidae. The record is from RNAcentral.
AGAUGGGGUCUCACUAUAUUGCCCAGACUAGUCUAAAACUCCUGACUUCAAGUGAUCCAAGGUUUACUUCCCUGUCCGAUGCAGUUGAAGUUGCUCUCCUUCAUCUUGCUAUGCUGCCAUUUUCAUUGCAUAGUCUCCAUUGUUGCCUUUAUGGAUGACCAUGCAUUGAAUUUUAUGAAAUAGGCAUGAAAAUGGUAAAUUGCUUCCUUCUGCAUAUCACUGGCCAGAACCCAGGUACCUGUAAAAAAAGUGUUUAAAACUUUAAUAUAGCUGAUUUUCUCUGAUACUUCAAAUGCCUGACAAAUCUGGAAAGCAACAACUUUCUGAGCAUUUAGUCUGUUCCUGCAAUUUUAAUAAAUCUUGUUUAUAGUGAUUUGGCUACUAUGUACAUUGUUUUUAUAUAUGUAUGG